Molecule: non-coding RNA, 135 nt
Organism: Caenorhabditis elegans
Lineage: Eukaryota; Metazoa; Nematoda; Chromadorea; Rhabditida; Rhabditidae
Source: Ensembl
UUCAACAUCUUCUUAUUCUACGAAAAAGAGAAGGCGUGGCUUCUUCUUUUGCUUCUUCUUCUUCCUCUCUUCUCCAGGGUCGUAGCACUGGUGGCGGUGGUGGUGGUGAGAAGAAAGACACGUCUUCGUCGAUUU